RNAcentral lists this ribosomal RNA (796 nucleotides) under uncultured bacterium. RNAcentral describes it as "bacterial SSU rRNA". It matches the Rfam family "Bacterial small subunit ribosomal RNA", at positions 8 to 796 of the family's 1533-position model. The record is from RNAcentral.
AGAGUUUGAUCAUGGCUCAGAUUGAACGCUGGCGGCAGGCCUAACACAUGCAAGUCGAGCGGCAGCACGGGUACUUGUACCUGGUGGCGAGCGGCGGACGGGUGAGUAAUGCCUAGGAAUCUGCCUGGUAGUGGGGGGAUAACGCUCGGAAACGGACGCUAAUACCGCAUACGUCCUACGGGAGAAAGCAGGGGACCUUCGGGCCUUGCGCUAUCAGAUGAGCCUAGGUCGGAUUAGCUAGUUGGUGAGGUAAUGGCUCACCAAGGCGACGAUCCGUAACUGGUCUGAGAGGAUGAUCAGUCACACUGGAACUGAGACACGGUCCAGACUCCUACGGGAGGCAGCAGUGGGGAAUAUUGGACAAUGGGCGAAAGCCUGAUCCAGCCAUGCCGCGUGUGUGAAGAAGGUCUUCGGAUUGUAAAGCACUUUAAGUUGGGAGGAAGGGCAUUAACCUAAUACGUUGGUGUCUUGACGUUACCGACAGAAUAAGCACCGGCUAACUCUGUGCCAGCAGCCGCGGUAAUACAGAGGGUGCAAGCGUUAAUCGGAAUUACUGGGCGUAAAGCGCGCGUAGGUGGUUUGUUAAGUUGGAUGUGAAAUCCCCGGGCUCAACCUGGGAACUGCAUUCAAAACUGACAAGCUAGAGUAUGGUAGAGGGUGGUGGAAUUUCCUGUGUAGCGGUGAAAUGCGUAGAUAUAGGAAGGAACACCAGUGGCGAAGGCGACCACCUGGACUGAUACUGACACUGAGGUGCGAAAGCGUGGGGAGCAAACAGGAUUAGAUACCCUAGUAGUCC